GACGAACGCUGGCGGCGUGCUUAACACAUGCAAGUCGAACGGAAAGGCCCUGCUUUUGUGUGGUGCUCGAGUGGCGAACGGGUGAGUAACACGUGAGUAACCUGCCCUUGACUUUGGGAUAACUUCAGGAAACUGGGGCUAAUACCGGAUAGGAGCUCCUGCUGCAUGGUGGGGGUUGGAAAGUUUCGGCGGUUGGGGAUGGACUCGCGGCUUAUCAGCUUGUUGGUGGGGUAGUGGCUUACCAAGGCUUUGACGGGUAGCCGGCCUGAGAGGGUGACCGGCCACAUUGGGACUGAGAUACGGCCCAGACUCCUACGGGAGGCAGCAGUGGGGAAUAUUGCACAAUGGGCGGAAGCCUGAUGCAGCAACGCCGCGUGCGGGAUGACGGCCUUCGGGUUGUAAACCGCCUUCGCCUGUGACGAAGCGUGAGUGACGGUAAUGGGUAAAGAAGCACCGGCUAACUACGUG
RNAcentral lists this ribosomal RNA (468 nucleotides) under uncultured bacterium. RNAcentral's name for it is "partial 16S ribosomal RNA". It matches the Rfam family "Bacterial small subunit ribosomal RNA", at positions 28 to 507 of the family's 1533-position model. The record is from RNAcentral.